RNAcentral lists this ribosomal RNA (330 nucleotides) under Triticum aestivum (bread wheat). RNAcentral describes it as "partial small subunit ribosomal RNA". The record is from RNAcentral. Lineage: Eukaryota; Viridiplantae; Streptophyta; Magnoliopsida; Poales; Poaceae.
AUCCUUAAUAGAAUUAGAGCAAGGCUCGCGGGCUGGAAAGGGAAGCUCUUGCCGCUGGCAGGCCGCCGCGUUCUCGUAGGCUGCGUGCUUUCUGCUAUGCCAACCUUUGUACUCAUGGCGCUGCGAAUACCAAAGAAGUUCAUCAAGGAGAUCGACAAGUCAAGAAGGCGCUUCCUCUGGGCGGGAGACGCAGAAAUUUCGGGCGGCAAAUGUAAGGUCCGCUGGGCAUCUAUGACCAAGCCGGAGCAACUGGGCGGACUGGGCAUCCCUGAUCUCAGCCGUUUCGCCCGAGCCCUACGGUUGCACUGGCUUUGGCUCUCCUGGAGGUAG